AGUUGGCCGGUGCUUCUUCUGUACCUACCGUCACUUGCGCUUCGUCGGUACUGAAAGAGGUUACAACCGAAGGCCGUCAUCCCUCACGCGGCGUUGCUGGAUCAGGCUUCCGCCCAUUGUCCAAUAUUCCCCA
This 133-nucleotide ribosomal RNA is filed under the name uncultured bacterium. RNAcentral describes it as "partial 16S ribosomal RNA". The record is from RNAcentral.